RNAcentral lists this ribosomal RNA (497 nucleotides) under uncultured bacterium. Its description in RNAcentral is "partial 16S ribosomal RNA". It matches the Rfam family "Bacterial small subunit ribosomal RNA", at positions 28 to 507 of the family's 1533-position model. The record is from RNAcentral.
GAUGAACGCUGGCGGCGUGCCUAAUACAUGCAAGUCGAGCGAACAGACGAGGAGCUUGCUCCUCUGACGUUAGCGGCGGACGGGUGAGUAACACGUGGAUAACCUACCUAUAAGACUGGGAUAACUUCGGGAAACCGGAGCUAAUACCGGAUAAUAUAUUGAACCGCAUGGUUCAAUAGUGAAAGACGGUUUUGCUGUCACUUAUAGAUGGAUCCGCGCCGCAUUAGCUAGUUGGUAAGGUAACGGCUUACCAAGGCCACGAUGCGUAGCCGACCUGAGAGGGGGGUAGGCCACACUGGGACUGGGACACGGUCCAUACGCCUACGGGAGGGAGCAGUAUGGAAUCUUCCGCAAUGGGCGGAAACCUGACGGAGCAACGCCGCGUGAGUGAUGAAGGUCUUCGGAUCGUAAAACUCUGUUAUGAGGGAAGAACAAAUGUGUAAGUAACUAUGCACGUCUUGACGGUACCUAAUCAGAAAGCCACGGCUAACUACGUG